Small nucleolar RNA from Panicum virgatum (switchgrass), 110 nucleotides. The record is from RefSeq and is a predicted model, not a curated record. NCBI's taxonomy places the organism in Eukaryota, Viridiplantae, Streptophyta, Magnoliopsida, Poales, Poaceae.
AUCACAUGAUGAGGACAGGCGUGUAUGUAUUCUUGGAGUCUCUCCCAAGUUUCUGGGAUGGAUUCCAUUCCUGUCUGCUGGAAACUUGAAAUUCUUCCACAUAUGGCAUU